AGAUCUGAAAUCAGGUGGGACUACCCGCUGAACUUAAGCAUAUCAAUAAGCGGAGGAAAAGAAACUAACAAGGAUUCCCCUAGUAACGGCGAGUGAAGCGGGAAAAGCUCAAAUUUAAAAUCUGGCAGGUUAUCCUGUCCGAGUUGUAGUUUCAAGAAGCGUUUUCGGUGCGCGUCUGGGUAUAAGUUCUUUGGAACAGGACAUCAUAGAGGGUGAGAAUCCCGUUUAUGACCCGGAACAGCGUACUAUGUGAUACGUUUUCUAAGAGUCAGGUUGUUUGGGAAUGCAGCCUAAAAUGGGUGGUAAAUUUCAUCUAAAGCUAAAUAUUGGCGAGAGACCGAUAGCGAACAAGUACCGUGAGGGAAAGAUGAAAAGAACUUUGAAAAGAGAGUUAAACAGUACGUGAAAUUGUUGAAAGGGAAACGUUUGAAAUCAGUCGUGCGGGCGGGUAAUCAGCUUGGCCUUUGGGUCUUGUGCACUUACUCGUCUCGCAGGCCAGCGUCGGUUUUGUUUGCCGGAUAAAUGCCAAUGGAAUGUAGCUCAACCUUUUACGAGGAGGGGUGUUAUAGCCCUGGUAAAUACGGCGGUCGAGACCGAGGUCUGCAGUUGAUGCCUCUCGGGGCUGGGGACUCCAUCGCUCAUUCGCACCCGCGCCUAGACAGCUUGCUGACUAGGUGUGUGGUCUGUGGGUGACACGGUGGCCUACCACACAUCGACUUGGGUCGCUGGCGUAAUGGUUUUAAAUGACCCGUCUUGAAACACGGACCAAGGAGUCUAACAUAUAUGCGAGUGUUUGGGUGGCAAACUCAUGCGCGUAAUGAAAGUGAAUGUAGGUGAGAUCCUCACGGAGCAUCAUCGACCGAUCUUGAAAUUUUUGGAUGGAUUUGAGUAAGAGCAUAUCUGUUGGGACCCGAAAGAUGGUGAACUAUGCCUGAAUAGGGUGAAGCCAGAG
RNAcentral lists this ribosomal RNA (952 nucleotides) under Jimgerdemannia flammicorona. RNAcentral's name for it is "eukaryotic LSU rRNA". It matches the Rfam family "Eukaryotic large subunit ribosomal RNA", at positions 1 to 857 of the family's 3401-position model. The record is from RNAcentral. Lineage: Eukaryota; Fungi; Mucoromycota; Endogonomycetes; Endogonales; Endogonaceae.